GCCCGGAUGGCUCAAUGGUAGAGCAGCGCUUUUGUAAAGCGCAGGUUGUCGGUUCGAGUCCGACUCCGGGCU
RNAcentral lists this transfer RNA (72 nucleotides) under Candidatus Magasanikbacteria bacterium CG10_big_fil_rev_8_21_14_0_10_40_10. RNAcentral describes it as "tRNA-Thr". It matches the Rfam family "tRNA". From Rfam's summary of the family: Transfer RNA (tRNA) molecules are approximately 80 nucleotides in length. Their secondary structure includes four short double-helical elements and three loops (D, anti-codon, and T loops). Further hydrogen bonds mediate the characteristic L-shaped molecular structure. tRNAs have two regions of fundamental functional importance: the anti-codon, which is responsible for specific mRNA codon recognition, and the 3' end, to which the tRNAs corresponding amino acid is attached (by aminoacyl-tRNA synthetases). tRNAs cope with the degeneracy of the genetic code in two manners: having more than one tRNA (with a specific anti-codon) for a particular amino acid; and 'wobble' base-pairing, i.e. permitting non-standard base-pairing at the 3rd anti-codon position. The record is from RNAcentral. Lineage: Bacteria; Candidatus Magasanikiibacteriota.